CCUACGGGAGGCAGCAGUGGGGAAUAUUGGGCAAUGGGCGCAAGCCUGACCCAGCAACGCCGCGUGAAGGAAGAAGGCUUUCGGGUUGUAAACUUCUUUUAAGAGGGAAGAGCAGAAGACGGUACCUCUUGAAUAAGCCACGGCUAACUACGUGCCAGCAGCCGCGGUAAUACGUAGGUGGCAAGCGUUGUCCGGAUUUACUGGGUGUACAGGGCGUGUAGCCGGGCUGACAAGUCAGAUGUGAAAUCCCGUGUCUCAACCAGGGAACUGCAUUUGAAACUGUCGAUCUAGAGUAUCGGAGAGGCAGGCGGAAUUCAUAGUGUAGCGGUGAAAUGCGUAGAUAUUAGGAGGAACACCAGUGGCGAAGGCGGCCUGCUGGACGACAACUGACGGUGAGGCGCGAAAGCGUGGGGAGCAAACAGGAUUAGAUACCCCAGUAGUC
This 442-nucleotide ribosomal RNA is filed under the name uncultured bacterium. Its description in RNAcentral is "partial 16S ribosomal RNA". It matches the Rfam family "Bacterial small subunit ribosomal RNA", at positions 338 to 795 of the family's 1533-position model. The record is from RNAcentral.